RNAcentral lists this ribosomal RNA (758 nucleotides) under uncultured organism. RNAcentral describes it as "bacterial SSU rRNA". It matches the Rfam family "Bacterial small subunit ribosomal RNA", at positions 691 to 1447 of the family's 1533-position model. The record is from RNAcentral.
UAGAUAUUGGGAGGAACACCGGAGNCGAAGGCGAUCACCUGGCUUACAACUGACACUCAUCCUCGAGAGCAUGGGUAGCAAACAGGAUUAGAUACCCUGGUAGUCUAUGCUGUAAACGAUGGACACUAGAUGUUGUGGGAUUUGAUCCCUGCAGUAUCGUAGUUAACGCGUUAAGUGUCCCGCCUGGGGAAUACGGUCGCAAGAUUUAAAACUCAAAGAAAUUGACGGGGGCCCGCACAAGCGGUGGAGCAUGUGGUUCAAUUCGAGGCAACGCGAAAAACCUUACCUGGGCUUGACAUCCUGCUUUAAAUCAUAGAGAUAUGGUCUAGUCUUCGGACAAGGCAGGACAGGUGCUGCAUGGCUGUCGUCAGCUCGUGUCGUGAGAUGUUGGGUUAAGUCCUGCAACGAGCGCAACCCUUAUCAUUAGUUGCCAUCAUUAAGUUGGGUACUCUAAUGAGACUGCCGGUGUUAAACCGGAGGAAGGUGGGGAUGACGUCAAGUCAUCACGGCCCUUAUGUCCAGGGCUACACACGUGCUACAAUGGUCGGUACAAAGAGCUGCAAACCCGCAAGGGGGAGCUAAUCUCAAAAAGCCGAUCUCAGUUCGGAUCGGAGUCUGCAAUUUGACUUCGUGAAGCUGGAAUCGCUAGUAAUCGCGAAUCAGCAUGUCGCGGUGAAUACGUUCCCGGGCCUUGUACACACCGCCCGUCACACCACGAAAGUUUAUUGUACCAGAAGAGGUGAAGCUAACUUUUGAGG